Molecule: ribosomal RNA, 50 nt
Filed under: Podosphaera tridactyla
Lineage: Eukaryota; Fungi; Ascomycota; Leotiomycetes; Helotiales; Erysiphaceae
Description: partial 28S ribosomal RNA
Source: RNAcentral
GAUGACCUCGGAUCAGGUAGGGAUACCCGCUGAACUUAAGCAUAUCAUAA